Non-coding RNA from Sus scrofa (pig), 91 nucleotides. The record is from Rfam. Lineage: Eukaryota; Metazoa; Chordata; Mammalia; Artiodactyla; Suidae.
UCCCAGGUGAGUCAGUGGGUUAAGACUCCAGCUUUGUUAGGCUGUGGCUUGGGUCACAGUUGUGGCACAGGUUCAAAUCCUGGCCUGGGAA